GGAGUCCACUUGUGCCAGUUACAAGGUCCCUGUUCCACAUUCUCCAACCUCAUGUUGGUUGCUUGAAAUAGGCUGUGGUGGCAGUAUUUACACCACGGAAAUUCACAAAUGCCACAAAGCAGGGCUUUGUGCCUCCCAUGCUCCACACCCUGGAGAUCUGAUUUUAAUACAUCACUACACCACUGCUUCUCAGUUACUGGAGGAAUGAGACUAAGUCUCCCUCUCUCUCUCUCUAUCCCUCUGCCUCUUCCCUCUCCCCCUCUCUCUCUCCUCCUCUCGCUCCUUCUCUCUCUCCCUCUGUCUCUUUGUCUCUGUUUUUUGUGGGUGUUUUUGCUGAGGAAGAUUCGCCCUGAGCUAACAUCUAUUGCCAAUCUUCCUCUAUUUUAUAUGUGGGUCUCCACCACAGCAUGGCCACUGACACAUGAGUGCUGUGGGUCUGCACCCAGGAACUGAACCUGGGCCACUGAAGUGGAGUGUGUGGACCUUAACCACUAGGCAACCGGGGCUGGCCCACCUCUCUCUGUUUUUAAAGGGCGCUACCUUAAACAUACAAACGAAAGUCACGAAGUCUUUAAUCCUUCUCCUUCCAGCCAGAGGUUCUGGGAGGACAGCAUGUGGCAGUCACCUGGAGGGCUCGUUAAACCAUAGACUGCUGGGUCCCUCCUCCAGGGUUUCUGACUCAGUAGGUCUGUGGAACCCAAGACUUUCCAUUUCUCUUAAGUGCCCCAGGUGAUGUUGGUGCUGCCAGUGUGGCGACCACAGUUUGAGGCCCACUGUUCCAUGCUGUCCCUGAGAAUGACCUCGAUGACUGGCAUGACUUUGUCUUCAGGGAGAAACUCAGUGGAAUUUCAAGAGAGAAGAUGCCAACCUGAGGCAGGAGUGAGAGACAGAAAUCUUACAGACUGUGAGAGAGCGUUUACGUUGCACACCACUCAGCAUUUCACUCCUUAGAUUCCCCAUUAGUCAUCUGUCCCCAAGUUUCUCUGCUUGGCUUCCAGCUCGGGAGCCUCACUCUGUCUUCAUUCACUCUCCCCACCUGCAGCUGAGUGGACACCACGGAUGCCUGUCUCAGCUUCCUGAAGCCUGUCACUCCUGUGAUUAAGUUACAUUGUAAAGAAUCUGUCUUAGUGGACCGGAGGAGAGAUUCUCCUGCUGGCCUUGCAGAAGCAAGCUCCGUGUUGUCUGAGGGCCAUGUAGCAGAGAACUGUGGUCAACCUCUAAGAGCUGAGAGUGGCCCUUGGUUGACAGCCAGCAAGAAAGCGGAGACCUCAGUCCCACAAAUGCGAGAAACUGAAUUCUGCCAAUAACCCCAUGAGCUUAGAAGAGAAAGCUCCAAUUUCCAGAAAGGAACGCAGUCUAGCCCACACCUAAAUUGUGGGCUUCUGAGACCCUGAGCAGAGGACCCAGGUACUGGAGAUUAGGACUUGAACAUCUUUUUGGAGGACACAAUUCAACCCAAUACCAGCCUACAGUUUAAAGGCAAAGCCUGCUUCUAAUGGCCAACUUGAAGACCCCAGUGAGUUCUCAUUUGUUGCUGGUGAGAAUGUAAAAUGGUACAGCCCCUUUGGAACACAGUCUGGCAGUUCCUUAAAAAGGGUGUUCUUCAACAGCACGUUAAAUAGACCAAAUCCUGUUUUGCGUACCGAUGUGGAACCAUAUCCAAGAUGAAGUGAUAAGUGAAAAGAAGAAAACAGGCCUCAGGACACACAUGCGUGUGUGUGCAUAGAAGUUUCUCCAGACAGUAACACAGGAAAUUGAGACUUUGUCCUCGAAUUCCAUGAGUGGGAGCACCCAAUCAGAACUGCCUGUAUCUGGAUGAUGUCUGUCAUUUAUCUACCUCCCAGACUUGUUGGGAUCAUCAGUUUUACCUCCUAAAUUCCAUCCCUAAGAAAAUAUAGAUUAGUUUGGUUUGCUCUUGAACUUGAUAUAAAUGGAAUUACCUAUGGUUUUGGCAUUGUGACCUGCAGCUGCUAUCCACGUCCUUGUCCAUGUCUCCUGGUGAAUAUGUGCUCCCUGGGGCUGACGUUCUAGCCCUGGGAGCUGACCUUACUUUGUGCUAAUGAGAUUUCUACCCAUCUGUGACCAUAAAGGGAAAGCUGAUAAAGACCCUGGAGUUUGGGAAUCUGAAGCGGUGGAUCUUAUUGUCAUGGAUUGGUUCCUAUUCAUGACAAAUUCAUAUUGCAAAGGACCGAAAACCCAGCAGUUUUCUUAAACGUCAGAAUAAACCUGCUGUUAUUUUAAAAGCAUUAAAAAUUCUUUUAAACGGCAAAAAUCACUCUUAAAAGUCUUUUUAUUUCAAAUUAAUAGCUUCUAAAUGUGAAGGUCUCUGCUUUGUGACUAACAAAAACGUUUGCCAAUAUUCCAAAUUAGAUUAUUUUGUUUUUAGCAAGAAUCAGACUUUUUUUUUGAGCCAGAGGAGACUUUA
Molecule: long non-coding RNA, 2425 nt
Filed under: Equus asinus (donkey)
Lineage: Eukaryota; Metazoa; Chordata; Mammalia; Perissodactyla; Equidae
Description: lncRNA (ENSEASG00005031097.1)
Source: RNAcentral